Cordylochernes scorpioides is the source of this 73-nucleotide non-coding RNA. The record is from the annotation of a GenBank genome assembly. Lineage: Eukaryota; Metazoa; Arthropoda; Arachnida; Pseudoscorpiones; Chernetidae.
UUUUAAGUGUGGGAAUCAAACCCACAGUGUUCCGCUUACCGGGCAGAUGCCAUGUCCACUAGGCUACCCUGGA